This is a long non-coding RNA of Asparagus officinalis (garden asparagus), 773 nucleotides long. RefSeq lists it as uncharacterized. The record is from RefSeq and is a predicted model, not a curated record. NCBI's taxonomy places the organism in Eukaryota, Viridiplantae, Streptophyta, Magnoliopsida, Asparagales, Asparagaceae. The transcript has 2 exons.
UGUUGCUGUCGUUGGAUUCCACUGGAUCAAGACAACUACAACUGACUGAUUUUUUUAAUGGAAAUGGCUCUGCUUAUCAAAUAAAAGGAAUUGAGGGGCUGCAAAUGUAGGAAAGUGGGCCUGUUAAUGUGGGCUUUUUAAGUAUAAAAUGGACAGAUCAAAAGGUGAAAACAAUGUGAAUGUGGGCUUUGAAAAAUAAAAUGGUUGGGUUGCUUUGUAAUUGGGCCUCAUGAAAACUUGGGACUUGGGAGGGCACAGUUCUCAUCUCUUGAAGUGGAGGGCACCGGUUCAGUUCAAACUCCUUCACAGUGGCAACGAUAAGAAAAAACAGAUCCAGAACCUAGGGCAAAGGGUUGACGGCGAAACCUCCGAUGUCGUCGACUGAUGGCGGAACCUGAUGAUACCAUGAUCCUUUCUCCAGUGAUUUGAUCUCCUCCAGCAGCCAUCGAAGUCGCAACGUUGUCGUCGUCGAUCGUCGAUUAAGGCAGUCGUUGUCGAUGGCGGCGUGAUGGGAGUUGAGGAUCGAGGCUCUGAUACCAGUGUUUGAAGCACAGAGAAAAGAAAAGAUGAUAUCUUUGAGGGGGGCUCCGGUAACAGUGGUACUGUUAUUUCUUGGAGGUCUAUUAAGCAGACAAUGUUUACUAGUUGAAACCACUCAGAAAUUGUUCCUCUAUAUGUGCCCCAUGCGAACGUGUAAGGUUCAAAUCGCUGAUAAAACACAUUUGAUGAUCGUGUGGCAUAUUAAAUGAGGAUAUUACCCCCGUUGUCUUUUC